AGGGGGCUGAAGUUAGCCGCGUAGCAGCAGUUCGCGCAGUGUGUGGCUGGCACUGGGCAGCGGGCUGGGGAGGCGGCAGCGCUCUGCCCCACCAGCCCCGGCUCUGGGUCGCCGCCCGCCAGCAGCGUGGAGGAGAGGACCUGGGCCAGGGUCGCUCCAGUCUCCCAGGCGCCCGGGUGCCGGGUCCGCCUAUCCCCAGCUCGCCCCUUCUCCAGGCACUAGGCAGCCCUGGGGCAGGAGCAGCCUCCCUUCAGCCGCGCCAGGCGCCCUGGGGCAGGCUCUCCCCGGCAGCGCGGGCCACUAGCGCUCCGGAGCAGGGUCCCCCGCAGCCCUCCACCGCGGACCGACCGCCCCCUGCUGCCAGGCGCCGAGAGAGAGAGGAGCCGGGCCUCGCCCUCCCCGCGGGCGCUGCAGGCAGAGGCUCAGGCGGCCGGUCCCAGCGGCAGAUUAAGGAGAUUAACUUGAGUAUGGCAGCUAUACAAUUCAGAAAUUGCCACACGGGGAACUGAAUUCUGUGGAACAGAC
Molecule: long non-coding RNA, 525 nt
Organism: Chrysemys picta bellii (western painted turtle)
Lineage: Eukaryota; Metazoa; Chordata; Testudines; Emydidae
Source: Ensembl